ACAUUUCCUUUUUCCAAUUUAUAUUCCUUAACAAUUAUAAAGCAAUAAAGUGUAAAUAGCGGAAAUUACAAUAAGUGGAAGAAAGCAAUAAAUUAUCUGAAUAUGUGUCUAAUACAACUGUUUGAGCAUCGACUACCCAGAACUAGUGUCACAGUUUGACAUACGGUCUAAGAGUACUACACAUACAGGUUGAAAGAAAUAAAUACAACAUUGUCUCUGGAAAUACAUGAAAGAAACAUGAAUAGUACAUAGAAUGAGACGUCAAGGCCUGAGAACGCCUGUAGGACUACCUCGGGUCGCUUGAUGAACCAGAAUCAGCAAUCUUACUACGGUCCGAAGUCUACAACAUUUGGGUCUGGACAAAAGAGUGUAGAGUGUAGUAUCAGCAUAACCGACCCCAUGUGCUGGUAAGUGCCUAGAUUAACCUCGGCGAAGUAGUGAUGAGGCUAGGACCAGACUACCAAAUAAACUGUGCAAUUUAACUAUAUACAGUGAAAAAGAAGAACAGUAAUAUAUAGUCAAGUAUGGGAGGGGGAAACAUGUUGCGGGGAAACACCGAAUAAUAACAGAAGAAUAACAAAUAAUUAUGAGGAUCACCAUAGUUCAAUCGAAAAUAGGAAGGGGAAAUCAUGUUGCGGGGUACAACAAGUAUCAAUUAGAAACCAGCAAUUAAAUGUAGAGAAAUCGUAACUCAAUUAUUAAUAAAAAUCAGGAAAUCAAAGACAAGUUCACGGCAUCACCCUUCGUGCUUUAACACUCUCUCACCAAAACAAUACACGGCAUCACCCUUUGUGCUUUAACACUCCCUCACCAAAACAAUACAUGGCAUCACCCUUCGUGUUUUACACUCUUCCUCACCCAAGUAACAAAUCACAAGGCAAAUGGGGUAAGGGAAUCUAUAACAUCGAAAUAAAAUCAAGUAACAAUAGAAAAAUCACUAAGUAAACGUAAAGGACAACACAACUCAAUUAUCAGCAAGAAACAGGAAAAUCAAGGACAAGUGCAUGGCAUCACCCUUCGUGCUUUUAAUCUCGUCCUCACCAUAAGAAUCAACAUAAACUGCACGGCAUCACCCUUCGUGCUUUUACUCUCAUCCUCACCAUAAAAUCAAUAUGAUUGGCAUAGAAUGGUACAUCGUGUGGCACGGCAUCACCCUUCGUGCUUUACACUCUUUCGUCACAAAUCAUGCACGGCAUCACCCUUCGUGCUUUAACACUCUUCCUCACCCAAAUAACAAUCACAAACAAUAGGGAAAUGGAAUAAAUGAAACUACAGUAAGAAUCCCGGCAAGGGAACAAUAGUUCAACAAUCAAGUCCCGACAAGGGAACAACAUCAAAGAAGCAUCAACAUCCUAGCUAGGGAGAUAACAUCAAAACAAUAAAUUCUCGGCAAGGGAGAUAAUAUAAUGAUUCUCUUCUCUUUUUCACUUUUACUUCACAACUCACUUCACAACCUUGAGUCAAUGCUCUAAAAGUUUCAAUUUCCACUUAUACUUUCACAUUUCAUUGUACAACUUGAGCCAACGCUCCUCAAUGUUCAAAUGUCACCACUACUUCCACAAACUUUGCACAACAAUAGAAAUCAUCAUUAAAGCAUGAAUAAUACAACAAAGCCAUAAUAAUCACAAAAUAAGACUGACGAGCAUACUUGACACCAACGUAUAGAUACUCGUCACCAUGCCUAUACGUCGUACUCGACAAAUACCACAUAGCAAAUAGGACUCGACUCUUAAUCACUCAAGCUAAGGUUAGACCAAACACUUACCUCGAUGCCACGAACACAAUUCACGUCUCAACUAUAGCUUUACCUCUUGAUUCCACCACCAGUUCGCUCGUAUCUAGCCACAAGUUACUUAAUUAAAUCAAUAAAUGCUAAAUGAAUCAACUCCAAUGCAUGAAAAUGAGUUUUCCAAAGUUUUACCCAAAAAGGCAAAAAUCUCCCCCGGGCCCACAGGGUCAAAACCCGAGGUUCGAACCAAAACCCAAUUACCUAUUCCCCCACGAACUCAAAUAUAUAAUUUAUUUUGAAAUCGGACCUCAAAUCGAGGUCCAAAUCCCCAAUUUUUGAAAAACCUAGGUUCUACCCAAAACACUCAAUUUCCUCCAUGAAAAUCAUUGAUUUUGAGUUGAAAUCAUGUGAAAAGAUGUUAAUAAUUGAAGGAAAUGAGUUAAAAUUGACUUACAAUCGAUUUGGAAGAAGAGUUGUCUUUGAAAAAUCGCCCAAGAGAUUUUUGGUUUUGAAAGAGUGUGAAAAAUGGGAGAUUUUCGGCUAAGUAUAAAAAUUGCAGGUUGCAGAUAUGGGAAUUGCGACCAGGGUUCGCAAUUGUGAACCCUGACCUCUGAUAUACACGCAUUCGCGAAGGGGUUCUCGCAUUUGCGAGUGAGAAAUGCGAAGGAUAUGUCGCAUUUGCGAUGACUGGCUAAAAGGGGAAGUAUCGCAUUUGCGAUAGAAUCCUCACAAUUGCGAGGUAGGCUGGCCUAGGCUUCUUUCACAUUUACGACAUACCUCUCGCAUUUACAAUCUUGCAUUUGUGAGCCAAGCUUUGCAAAUGCGAAGCCUGCAGGCCUGCAAUGCAACAACUGAAAGUCUGCAAUUCACCAAGUCCAAAAUCCACCCCGUGGCCUAUCCAAAACUCACCCGAGCCCUUCGAGUUCCAAACCAAACAUGCACACCCAUCUAAAAAUAUCAUACAGACUCGCUCGUGCAUUCAAAUCACUAAAACAACAUAAACAACUAUGAAUUUAGCAUCAAAAUCAUGAAAUCUUCUUAAGAACUUUAAAUUUCCAAUUUUCUAAAAAAUGAUCCGAUUCACGUCGUUUCAAGUCUGUUUCUUACAAAAUUUCACAAACUUAUCUUACAUAACAUAUAAGACCUGUACCGGGCACCAAAAUCAAAAUACGGGCCCAAUACCAUCAAGUUUUAAUCACAAUUCAUUUCCAAAUCUCAUAAAUAAUUUCAGAAAAUAAUUUUCUUUGAAAAUUCAUUUCCCGGGCUUGAGACCUCGGAAUUCGAUUCCGGGCAUACACCCAAGUCCCAUAUUUUUCUACGAACCUUACGGGACCGUCCAAUCAUGGGUCCGAGUCCGUUUACCCAAAAGGUUGACCGAAGUCAACUUAAACUCAUUUUAAAUGCAAAAUUCAUCAUUUUUCAUAGAUUUUUACAAAUGGCUUUCCGGCUACGUGCUCGAACAGCGAACGCAAAUUGAGGUGAUGUCGAAAGAGGUUUUUAAGGCCUCGGAAUGCAGAAUUUACUUUUAAAACAAGUGAUGACCUUUUGGAUUAUCGCAAAGUCACUACAGCUCAUUUUCAACUUGCUACAUGCAAAUCCUUAAACUUACACAAGAAAUGCAUUCGAAUUUUACAACAAACACUACACUAAGUGAAUUAAUACAUUAUGCAGUUGAGUCCAGCCCUUUUUUCUUCUUCAUGUUUUGAAAAUUUCAAGUGCAUGUGAAUCUAUACAUCAAAUCAUGAGAUGGACACCUCUUCUGGCUUCGUUUCAACUACAAACACUCGAUCUAAACUGACGAAAAUAACUAUAUUUUAAACUGCAGAACAAGUAACAAAUCUACUCAUGAAUAGCACGAAUAACUAUAGAAACAUGCUAGUUUUACACAUUGAAAGAGGGAGAGAGCAUUCCAAAUUCACUCAAACUCGCUAAACCAUCAUUGAAAAGCAGUUAUCGACACAACUGAAUGAUUAACUAUUACGAGAAGCAUUCAUCUAUACCACAAACAUUCAUAUGAUAACAGGAACUUCAUAAUAUUAUAGCAUUUAACAGUCAUUUCAUUUUUCGAAGCAUAAAUUGAUACCUGGAAAAACAGCAGUGACAAACAAGAAAAUAAGAAUCUAAAUUUGACAAGCACAACUAGAAAUGGGAUGAGCUUGACAGAAACAGCAGCAAACAAACAGAGAAGGUAGCUCAACCAGAUUUGAACUCAGAACUUGGAAAACGACUGUGAGAUAAUGAAACAAACUAGGAAGCCUUUAGUUUUUUUGUUUCUGAAAUCCCAGAGUUGGUUUUUCAGAAGUUUUCUUUUAUAAAAAAAAAUGAAGAACAGUGAACUCUCAUAAAUCAGUGUAAAAUCAGUAAAAAAUUUGAACUUUAGAGAGUUUUCGUGUGUAAAAAUCUGUCUAUCCCCUAAAAUAAGUGUGUGAGUGAGACUUAUAUAGAGUGAGAGUGUGCUAAGGGAUAAGGGAAGGUACAACCCCUAAAAAUAAGGAAAAUAGCAUCUUUCUUUAACCAAUUUGUGUACAGUUGUCCCUUUUUAUCAGAUAUUAUCGAUAUCAGCAUCUUUUCUUAACCAAUUGGGAUAGUUGUCCCUAUUCUAGAAACUUUUUUUAUUCUUAUCUGAAAUUCCCCCCUAAUCUUAUUUUUCAAUUGGCCCCCUUAAGUUCUAUUUGUUACCCUUCUCACCCCCAAACCUUUUUUUGCAUUGAACUUAAAGCCCCACAAUUUUAUAAACCAAACCUACUAAAAAGCAAAACUCUGUGGCAGAUGAAAUGAUUAGAAUGUGGAAUCAAAACCUAUACCAUUAACUAUGUAUGGGACUAAUCCAUAACAAACAGAAUUAAUAACCAUCCCUUAAUCAUGCUAAUUAAUUGUCUUUAAACACAUAGUUAGGUAAUUAACUAAAUAGGAAUGCAAAACUAUAAAGAACUAUACUAUUCUGAUUAAUCUUAAAUCAAACAAAACAGAGAUACUAAAAAAACAAGGUUCAGAACAGACAAAAAUAGAAAGAAAACAGAAAGAAAUAAAAAAUAAGAAAUAAAAAUAAAAACAAAACAAAGUGAAGGCAUGAUAGAUUGAUACUAUUGAAAAUGAACUAAUUUGGAAAAUUACAUACAAAUUAACCUACACUACUAACAUAUUAACAGAGGGAAGAGAUACCUAAGUGCUCCAAUGGAUUGUGAGAAGAAAAAGGAUUUCCGGCAAGACGGAGAAAUUGCCACACACACACACUGGCCGGAUUUCUCCAUACGAGACAGUGCUGGUAUGCAACAAAUAUCUCUUGCUGGCCCGAUAAAGAAGCGAGGCAAGGUGGGGAUGAACUACGCAAUCCAGAGGAGCUUGACCAAGGUUUUGUGGCAAUGAAAUCAACAAAAUCGUGCAAUUGUCAAUAGAAGUCGACUGAUGUAGGUUUCGAUCCCAAAUGAGCCAAAAUAAGGACAAAUCAAACAAAAGGAAAACUUUAGGGUUUUUACGAUUUCUAAAUUUGGAAUUCAUGGAGUUUAGGCAAUUUUUUUGGGAAAAUUAUUGAGGGAUUUGACUGAGGGGAGGAUGGAGGCUGUAGGGUAUUAGUUUGGGGUUAUCUGGUGAUGUGCCACCGCCGUGGGCGAUUUUCGGCGGUGGUUUAAGGCUAAGGGUGAGAGAGGGAGUCGAAGGAAUCUGGGCUGGUCUUUAGGGUUUGGGGGUAGCUGGAUUCGGACACUAAUAAGGGAUGGAAUGGUUAGUUCUCAGCCGUU
This 5466-nucleotide long non-coding RNA is filed under the name Nicotiana tabacum (common tobacco). RNAcentral's name for it is "long non-coding RNA (NTAB_LNC005566)". The record is from RNAcentral. Lineage: Eukaryota; Viridiplantae; Streptophyta; Magnoliopsida; Solanales; Solanaceae.